AUCACUUCUUGGUCUUUUGGCUAACGUCAGGUGAAGUUAUCUGUUUUCAUCAGUUUAAUGUCUGAUAUGUCCUCCAGCCAAGGACAAUGUAUUAAUGGAUUUUUGGAGCAAGGAGAUGGAAUAGGCGCUUGCUCUGUCUACUUAAUGAAUCAACCUGGUAUUGCAGCACCUCCAGGAAUGGUGCACCCCAC
Small nuclear RNA from Cynocephalus volans (Philippine flying lemur), 191 nucleotides. RefSeq annotates it as U2 spliceosomal RNA. The record is from RefSeq and is a predicted model, not a curated record. The transcript has a single exon. Lineage: Eukaryota; Metazoa; Chordata; Mammalia; Dermoptera; Cynocephalidae.